RNAcentral lists this ribosomal RNA (446 nucleotides) under uncultured bacterium. RNAcentral describes it as "SSU rRNA". It matches the Rfam family "Bacterial small subunit ribosomal RNA", at positions 26 to 518 of the family's 1533-position model. The record is from RNAcentral.
AGAAUGAACGCUGGCGGCAUGCCUAACACAUGCAAGUCGAACGAGAUCUUCGGAUCUAGUGGCGCACGGGUGCGUAACGCGUGGGAAUCUACCCUUGGGUUCGGAAUAACAGUUGGAAACGACUGCUAAUACCGGAUGAUGACGUAAGUCCAAAGAUUUAUCGCCUGAGGAUGAGCCCGCGUAGGAUUAGCUAGUUGGUGUGGUAAAGGCGCACCAAGGCGACGAUCCUUAGCUGGUCUGAGAGGAUGAUCAGCCACACUGGGACUGAGACACGGCCCAGACUCCUACGGGAGGCAGCAGUGGGGAAUAUUGGACAAUGGGCGAAAGCCUGAUCCAGCAAUGCCGCGUGAGUGAUGAAGGCCUUAGGGUUGUAAAGCUCUUUUACCCGGGAUGAUAAUGACAGUACCGGGAGAAUAAGCUCCGGCUAACUCCGCGCCAGCAGCCGC